CUCUGUGACUCCUACGGGAGGCAGCAGUGAGGAAUAUUGGACAAUGGAGGCAACUCUGAUCCAGCCAUGCCGCGUGCAGGAAGACUGCCCUAUGGGUGUAAACUGCUUUUAUACAGGAAGAAACACCUCUACGUGUAGAGAUUUGACGGUACUGUAAGAAUAAGGAUCGGCUAACUCCGUGCCAGCAGCCGCGGUAAUACGAGGAUCCAAGCGUUAUCCGGAAUCAUUGGGUUUAAAGGGUCCGUAGGUGGAUAAUUAAGUCAGAGGUGAAAAUCCUGCAGCUUAAACUGUAGAAAUUGCCUUUGAUACUGGUUGUCUUGAGUUAUUAUGAAGUGGUUAGAAUAUGUAGUGUAGCGGUGAAAAUGCAUAGAUAUUACAUAGAAUACCAAUUGCGAAGGCAGAUCACUAAUAAUAUACUGACACUGAUGGACGAAAGCGUGGGGAGCGAACAGGAUUAGAUACCCUGGUAG
This 470-nucleotide ribosomal RNA is filed under the name uncultured bacterium. Its description in RNAcentral is "bacterial SSU rRNA". It matches the Rfam family "Bacterial small subunit ribosomal RNA", at positions 328 to 793 of the family's 1533-position model. The record is from RNAcentral.